GAUGAACGCUGGCGGCGUGCUUAACACAUGCAAGUCGAACGGACAUGUCUUUCGGGAUAUGUUAGUGGCAGACGGGUGCGUAACACGUAGGUGACCUGCCCUAGAGUGGGGAAUAACUAUCCUAACGGAUAGCUAAUACCGCAUAUGUUCGGUGAUUCAUUUUGCCGAGUAAAGUCGCAAGGCGCUCUAGGAUGGGCCUGCGGCGGAUUAGGUAGUUGGUGGGGUAAUGGCCUACCAAGCCGAUGAUCCGUAGGGGGCGUGAGAGCGUGGCCCCCCCACACUGGCACUGAGAUACGGGCCAGACUCCUACGGGAGGCAGCAGUGAGGAAUAUUGCGCAAUGGGCGAAAGCCUGACGCAGCAACGCCGCGUGAGGGACGAAGGCCUUCGGGUCGUAAACCUCUUUUCUGGGGAAAGAGCAAGGACGGUACCUCAGGAAUAAGUCUCGGCUAACUACGUGCCAGCAGCCGCGGUAAAACGUAGGAGGCGAGCGUUAUCCGGAUUUACUGGGCGUAAAGCGCACGCAGGCGGCUUCGUUAGUCGGAUGUGAAAGCUCCUGGCUUAACUAGGAGAGGCCAUUCGAUACUGCGAGGCUUGAGGUUGGGAGAGGGGUGUGGAAUUCCCGGUGUAGUGGUGGAAUGCGUAGAUAUCGGG
This 652-nucleotide ribosomal RNA is filed under the name uncultured bacterium. RNAcentral's name for it is "bacterial SSU rRNA". It matches the Rfam family "Bacterial small subunit ribosomal RNA", at positions 28 to 701 of the family's 1533-position model. The record is from RNAcentral.